UACAGAGGUGGCAAGCGUUGUUCGGAAUUACUGGGCGUAAAGGGCGCGUAGGCGGUCAUCUAAGUCAGACGUGAAAUCCCCCGGCUUAACCUGGGAACUGCGUCUGAUACUGGAAGGCUUGAGUAUGGGAGAGGGAUGUAGAAUUCCAGGUGUAGCGGUGAAAUGCGUAGAUAUCUGGAGGAAUACCGGUGGCGAAGGCGGCAUCCUGGACCAUUACUGACGCUGAGGCGCGAAAGCUAGGGGAGCAAACGGG
This 253-nucleotide ribosomal RNA is filed under the name uncultured bacterium. RNAcentral describes it as "partial 16S ribosomal RNA". It matches the Rfam family "Bacterial small subunit ribosomal RNA", at positions 524 to 776 of the family's 1533-position model. The record is from RNAcentral.